This 211-nucleotide non-coding RNA is filed under the name Domibacillus iocasae. RNAcentral's name for it is "T-box sequence". It matches the Rfam family "T-box leader". Rfam says of the family: Uncharged tRNA acts as the effector for transcription antitermination of genes in the T-box leader family. T-boxes are found upstream of many aminoacyl-tRNA synthetase genes and some amino acid biosynthetic genes usually in Gram-positive bacteria. The record is from RNAcentral. Lineage: Bacteria; Bacillati; Bacillota; Bacilli; Caryophanales; Bacillaceae.
AUAAAGCCAUAGACGAAGAAAAGUAGUGAAGGACUGCCCGGACAGAGAAAAAUGCCAAGACUGAGAGCAUUUACGGCGCACUUUCAUGAACAGACACUUCCGAGGCGUUUUUCUGAAAUAUAUGUAGGAAAAACCGCGAAUUGCGUUAUCAAAAAAAGUGAAAGCUUCGGCUUUAACGAGGGUGGUACCGCGGAAAACUUCCGUCCCUGCG